Mus musculus (house mouse) is the source of this 4764-nucleotide RNA transcript. It is a transcript of the gene named predicted gene 9881, with no coding region annotated. Lineage: Eukaryota; Metazoa; Chordata; Mammalia; Rodentia; Muridae. The transcript has a single exon. The record is from RefSeq and is a predicted model, not a curated record.
AGAGUGUGUGUGUGUGUGUGUGUGUGUGUGUGUGUGUAGGUAGGUCAGAGGGCAGCUUCUGAAGUCAGCUCCGUCCUCCAUUGUGGGGUAUGUUACCUGGCUUAUAAGGUAGUGUGUGUUUAACAGAUUUAAAAGUGCCAUCUUGCCAGCCCUCUUUUUCUGAUUUUAAAACUUUUUUUUUGUUUUUUUUGGUUUUUUUUUUUUUUUGUGGAAACCUCUGCUUUCUUGUUUGCUUUACUUUUCGACACUGAGGAGUGACCCCAGAGUCUUCUUGCAAUGCCACACACAGGUUCUACCUUCAGCUUCCCGAGGUUUAUUUUCUGUGACUGGAAAUGUAAGAUCUUUCUGACCCCGCCCCCACACACCUCAUUUCUGCUAACUUUUCUCCCACACGUCCUAACAAUCCUACUGACUAGGUUGAAGCUGUGAAAACUCAGUCUCUAUGACUUGUGCUUGCUACACGCCCCGCCCCCUUAGGUUCCAAAUUCUGUUUCCCUCAGCCUAUCCCAAGACUGGGUCUUGGGAUAGCGAAUCAGAGUGUUGCCUGUUUCGCACAUCCAUUUUUUGUCCACGUUGAUUAUUUUAUUUUAUUUUAUUUUUUGAGACAGGGUUUCUCUGUAUAGCCCUGGCUGUCCUGGAACUCACUCUGUAGACCAGGCUGAUAUCUUCUGAUAAAGAGGCUGAUCGAUGGGGGUCCUGUCCUCAUACCUACCGUAAAAAUGUAAUGAACUAGGAGGCUUUCUUGGCUGUUGUGUCCACCCUGGGUAACAGAUUAUGAUGUCCAGCCACCGCCUGGUUGUUACUAGUCAUUUUAUGAGUUGGUCUAAUCCACUCCGGCUCACUCAUUUGCUACCCAAGUCCCUCGUAUCUUUUUUUUCCCUCUUGGGUCCCCUGUAUGUGGCCUGUGGAGGCAUAAAACCUUUCCUCCAGUCUAAAAUCUGCUCUAAUUUUCCUCAGCAUUUUACUUUAAAAGAUAUUUAUAUUAUGAGAGUGUUUUGCCUGCAUGUAUGUAUAUGUUUGUACCCUGUGAAUACCUGUAGCUACAGAGAUCAGAAGAGGCCAUUGGGUCCCCUGGAACUAUAUAUAGAUGGUUGUGAGCCGCCCCGUGGGUGCUGGGUCCCACUCAAGAGCAACAAGUGCUCUAACCAUUUUGCCAUCUCUCUGUCCUUACUCUACCCAUUUAAUCCCCCCUCCUUCCCUCCACCCUUCACUCCCUCCCUCCCUCCUUCCCCCUCUUCAGCUAGAAACUUCAAUUAUAUUUUAGAAUCCCCACAAACAGGUUGCUAUUGCGUUAAACAACGCACGGGCACGCACAAGGUGGUGUUGACAGAAAACUUAGAUCAUAAUUUGCCUGACAGGACAAAGCAGACAUGCCCCCUGCUUUGUCCUUGUGUGUAUUUGCGGGGAUGACAAGUGUUGUGGCUUCCAAAGUGUCUUUCUGUGCUAAACACAGGGCUGGACCGUGGAAAAUCAAAAAACAAACUGGCCAUUUGGGAGGGCGGUCAGUCUCGGCGCAGCGGGGAGGAAUGGGCGGUCAGUCUCGGCGCAGUGGGGAGGAAUGUGCCCUGAGCCUGUUAUCUCGUGCUUACUUCCGCCUCUCCACGGCUUCCAAGGUAACGGAUGGAGAGGGUCACCCACCUCCAGUCUCUCAGCGGUACUGAAGCCGCAGAAGCUUUCUCUCUGGGAAGCAGAAAGGAAACCUGUUGGCUUUUGGAGCCUCCCAUAGAGAUGAAAGGGGAAUUAAAUGGUAUCACCCCUGUGCCAUCGCCAAAGCAAAACCGGGUCGCUUUAUCCGGGCUCUUCGGAGCUCUUUAAGGCUUGAAGGUCUGGAUUGAAAUCCAUAUAAUACAUUCAUUCACUAAGUCAAGAUUAAUAGCAUGGGCCGUGUGUCCUGGGGGAGAGCUUCCAGAAGGCACUGGGAAAUAAACCCGGUCUGCCUUUGAAAUACUUCCCAUAAGGCACAGGUCAGGGGAAAAAAAUCGAUUUUAUUUUAUUUUAUUUUAUUCCCUAAUAACAAUUCCUUUGUCAUCUCAUUUAAAUUCAUGUGUUUUUUCCCCUCCUGUAUAGACACAUUUUGCCAGGUCUCUUCCAUCUCAAAUAUUGCUGAGUCAAAUACCACUUAGAAUGGACUGCUAGUGGGUGGUAUCCGCCUUCAUUUCCCCCCUUCUGUCACCCCGUCCUAAGGGUCACUCUUAUCUUUGUUACCUCUCCAUGGUUUCCCCACAAUACCAGCAAUAGCUGUAUUUAGCAACCAGAAGUGAUAUAAGCUUAUUUUGAAAACACGUUUUCAAAUCAAAUCAGAAAGAAUACACUUUGACUCAUAGUAGAUUUGAUAUUAAAUUAUCUCAGUCUGAACCAUUGAUUUUGUUUGCUUUCUGCUUUGCCCUGGAACCAGACUAUGAUAAAAAACAAACAAACAAACAAACAAACAAAUAACAGAAGCUGACAAUGAUUGCUAAAGAAAAUGAUUCUCUGCCAGUAGUACAAAGAAGAAGAAAUUUGCCCCAGAAUAUAAAAUUUGAUAACCUCCUUCCCUGACAAAACUGUGUCCCCAAAGGGCUCUUUCCAUGAGCAAAAACUUGCCAAGGUUCAGAAAGUUCUCUGCCUUUCACUUCCUUUGUAUCUACACAUGUUUAAUGUUACGCUUUGUAUCUAUACAUGGGCCAUGUUUAAUGUUACGUUUUGCUCUUUGGAAAGAUUUAUGUUCAAAAGGCCCCACACAGAAGUCAGUGCCUUUGGGCUCAUUCUAAACCAGUCAGUGCUACAUAGUUUUUGCUCUGGAUUACAGGUUAACCAGUAAGUCUCAGAUGGGGCAGCAGUGUAAUCCUCCAAGAGCCCCUCCCCCCCCCCCCCCCCCCACACACACACACAGCAAAUUUUCUCUCUACCCUUGUACUUUCUAGCCAGCUUGGGUGAAUAGCAUAUUGAUGUAGCCUGCUUCUUAGCUUGCAAGCAAGUCGUUCUCUUUCAGAAGCCAUGGGUACCGGGGAGGCAGGUUCUGCAUCUCAGGGCAAAGGACAGAAGAGGUGAGCACCUGGGUCGAGCGCAGCCUGGUGCGAGUCCUUCUUACUAUGAGUGGGUUUUAGUGUUGCUGUGUGCUGUUCUACUGGUGCCUGAUUAAUCCUGCUGGUCGCUAGGGGUAAACCCGGGUUUUAUCUGAUCUAGGAACAAAACUUUCCCCCUCUUGGACAGAAGGUGGUCUGGGCAGGUCAGGGUAUGGGUCACUGGGAGGGCGGCCUGAGGAAGCCUGCGUUUUUCACAGCAACCACUUAUUACAAUUAGUUUAAAAAGAGUGAGAGAGAGAGAGAGAGAGAGAGAGAGAAAAGCCAACAUGGGUUGAAUUGACACUUUUCUGAGUCUGGACAGUGCAAUUGUUCUGGAAAACAAUGCUCACAUCUUUGUUUGAAAGUGGAAAAAGAAAAAGAAAAAAAAUUUUAAAGAAAAUAAGAGUAGUAAGAGAACAAUGUAUUUCAAGCAGCAAAUCUGUGCCCGAGUGUGGAGGGAGCCCUUUGAGGGUUUCAUUGGCUUCGGUGUCUGGAACUCCAGCUCCCCCUCUGCACUGAAUCCAAAUGCUUUGCUCGAAAACACAGGAAUGGAAGCAAUAUCCCAGCCAGCUCCCCACGGGUUGACAAACUACUCCCAGAAUCUAAACUGAAGAAGAAUUUGGUGACACAGGUACAGUCCCAGAGGUGAUGCCAUUGAAGUAAGAAACCAUCUGGAUAACCCAGGGUAUGAGAAGACUUGCACUAAUGUAUCUAGAGUCCCUGUUAGGUGGACUUAAGAGGUAUAAGGUGCUAUGUGGCCACACAGUCUCAGAAAACUCACAGUGGGUGUUAAAUGUCAUCACAAGAAUGAGAACUAAAGCCGGGUGGUAGUGGCGCAUGCCUUUAAUCCCAGCACUUGAGAGGCAGAGGCAGGCAGAUUUCUGAGUUCGAGGCCAGCCUGGUCUACUGGUCUACAGAGUGAGUUCCAGGUCAGCCAGGACUGCACAGAGAAACCCUGUCUCGAAAACAAAACAAAACAAAACAAGAAUGAGACCUAAAGAACCACAGUGCAUUUGUAAAUUGUCUUGUCUUACCCAUCCCACCCUAUACAUUUUCUUCCAAUUCAUAUGGUAUGUGCCAAGCAUUCAGUUUUAUCUGGCAAUAAAUAAAUAAAAAUGUAAUAGGAGAGAAAAAUAACUUGGAAGCAUAUUGAGUCCUGAGACCGCCCUUGAGCCCAGAAAUCAGGUACCCCUAGCCCAGUUCUGCUUUGCUUUGUCUUCUGUAGGGACACCCACUUUCAGGCCACCACAGAGCCACUCGGAAUAAUGCUAUCGUGUCCUCAGACCAGCUUCCUGCUAAGCAUGCCCUUGAGGCUGAGUUCUAGACAGGAGACCAUGGAAGGGAGCAAGUGUCCUUAAAUGAGGGAACAGUCCUUUUCUCUGUGCUCCUUGCUCCCUGUAGAAUGGAAGGCAGUACACCUGGCACUCCCUGCAGCUUCUUCCCACAGCCUGGGAGUCUUUGUAAGGAUGUCAUUGUCAGCAUCCAGUAGAGGCAGCAGAGAGCACAUGAGCAUCACCCUGUGAAGUCUCCUGAUAGCAGGGAGUAGGGACAAGGAGCAGAGACUGGCACAGUGCAAGCCCACAUGCAAAAGAAUAGGAAUGGGCACAACACUACACACACACACACACACACACACACACACACACACACACACACAAUCAAUUCAAAAUGUUCCAGAAAUCUAAAGGGAAGGGCUGUGCUGGAGAGAUGGGUCAGCGGU